Long non-coding RNA from Herpailurus yagouaroundi (jaguarundi), 1952 nucleotides. RefSeq lists it as uncharacterized. The transcript is spliced from 2 exons. The record is from RefSeq and is a predicted model, not a curated record. Lineage: Eukaryota; Metazoa; Chordata; Mammalia; Carnivora; Felidae.
CGUCCAAGCUCCUGCACUUACAAACGGUGGCCUCGGGAGGGUCACCACCUCUCGCAUCUCGUGUCUUCAUCCGGGAGCGCCUCCGCCCCGCCUGCCUCGCGGAGAACGAAUGAGAUACUCUGGCAUCACGGAGGCUUCUUCGUGCCCGGGGUUGCAGAGGUGAAUGAGUCAGGGAGGGACAGGUUCCUGCCCCGCAGAGAGCUCUCAGCCUGUUGGAGGGAGGGGAGCGAACGAACGACGGCUCCAAGGAUGCUAAGCAGAGGAAGAAGCCCGAGUUCCUGCUCAAGAGGAAGGGGGAGUCCACUGUCAUCCUUGGACUCAGAGAAGGGAUCAUGGAGGCUGCAGAGGGUACGAGAGGCCUUCCCCAGAGUCAGACUGCUCUCUGAGUUGGGCUCCUGGCUGCCCCUGCUGAGUGAUCCCGGGCAGGCUUAUUUCACUUCCUUCAGCCCCAGUUUCUCCCCUCUGUAAGACUCAUACCCAGCUCAAGAGGUUAUGGGGAAAGCAAAGCCUUAUGCACUUCGUCCGGAGAGAUACAAGUGCUUAAGAAGUGUGGGCUCUUAUCAUUUUUACUAUUUUCAGGGCACCGGGCUGGGCCUGAGAAGGUGGGAGGGGGGCCAAGAGGCAUGACUGGAGGAGGCCUUGUGGGCUGAGGGGCAGCCGAGCAAAGGCCCAGUGAUGUGAUUCCUCGAGGGACGGGGUCAAAUCCCACCUCCACCACGGACUGGCGGCACGAUCUCGGGCAUGAGGUCUGACCUCUGACAACCUCAGUUUCUCUGUCUGCAAAUGGGGGACAAAGACCGUGUGACCUGCCCUCUUCACAAAGGUGUAAGGCUCCAAUGAGACAAAACUCGUAAAAGUGUUCUACACAUUAUUAAAUUGUAGAAACCUAUGGGUGGUGUUGUACCUGAGAGCCUGCCACUGGACUGGCCUGGACCGGACUGGACGGAGAUGCUCGGGGACCGCAACGGGUCGUCUCCACCCGAAGUGAUGAGAAUAACAGCCAGCAUUUACUGUGCGCCUACUGUGUGCCGGGCGCUGUCUCAACACUAUAAAUAUGUUACAUCCUUAGCAUAGGAAACCCAUCCAUCCAUCCUGAGGAAAUCGUUUCAUCCCUAUAACACAGAUACCACCUCCCUUUUACGGAGGACCCAGGCACCCUUUGCCUUCGGCCCUGGAGUGCCCCGCUUCCCGGCAGGAGACAAGUGGACUGGCCAGAGGCCUGAAAACCAUGCCCCCCGGAAGCGAGAGCCUGACAGGCCUACAGAGGGACAGGCUGGGAACCGCAGAUGCCGCUUGCACAUCCCAGCAGGUGUGCGGCAUGUGGUGGGACGGACAGGGAGGGCUGCUGGAUUCAAGGCCAUGUGAUCAGAAGCAGACGCGUUGGAGCUGCUGGCAAAAAGAGCCCACUUUCCACUGGGGGUCAGUAAGCCCAUAGGCUAUAAGCCCGGCACUAGUAGUGACCAUCUUGUCACCGUAUAGGAAAAGCCCACACAGACACCUCCAGAAGCAAGAUAUGAAGACUAACAUGUUCUUGGCGUCAUUGGAGCACCUGGACCGAGCUGUGCCUGAACCCCUUAACCUUUCUGUCACGUAAGGCAUAGGUUCCUUUCUCCACAUAAGCCAAUAAGUCUGAGUCGGAUUUCUGACACUUACAACGGAAAGAGGUCCUGACGGGUACAUCCACUCUGAGAGAGACAGGACGGCCCUAAAGAGACUGUAGAGCAUGAUGGAGUCGGACAGACCUGGAGAACUGUAGCUUUGCAUGUCCUGCUGCCCAGGCAGAGUGAUAGUUCCUAACCGCUAAAAGGUACACAGCACUGCUCACUUUCUAGAACACGUACCCAUCACCCAGCUUUAACAAUUAUUAACAGGUACCCAGUAUUGAUUCAUUUCUUCUUCCACAUAUUGUCUUAUCUAUUAAACAAAUAGACAUAUUUGUCUAUUAAAACAAA